UUAAGCCAAGAAAGCAUAGGAAGAACCUGGAAAAGAGAAAAAGGAAAAACAGGAAAUUCUCUCUGCGAUGGCUUACGUCGAAAGAGGUUCCCGGCCGGCCUAGGUUAUCGUGAACCUUCUGAGUUCUGAGGAAGAAGAUGAAUCCAUUGACGUUAGUGAAGCGGAUUCAGAACAUCAACGCGAAAGAAGCAGCCCUAGGCAUCUCCGACGAGGCGUCCUGGCACACCAAGUACAAAGACUCCGCUUAUGUUUACGCCGGCGGCCUCCCUUUUGACCUCACUGAAGGCGAUCUCCUCGCCGUCUUUGCUCAGUACGGGGAGAUAGUUGAUGUUAAUCUUGUUAGAGAUAAAGGCACCGGAAAAUCUAAAGGCUUUGCUUUCAUUGCUUAUGAAGAUCAAAGAAGCACAAAUCUUGCUGUAGAUAAUUUGAAUGGUGCCCAAAUUCUUGGGAGAACAAUCAGAGUUGACCAUGUUUCUAAAUAUAAAAAGAAAGAGGAAGAGGAUGAAGAGACUGAGCAGCGAAAGAGGGAGGAGCGUGGGGUUUGCCGUGCCUUCCAGAGGGGCGAGUGCAAUCGCGGAGCAGGGUGUAAAUUUUCGCAUGAUGAACGAAGAGCUGCAAACACAGGUUGGGGUCAUGAGGAAGAUAGACGUUCAAGAUGGGCCAAUGACAAGUUUGAGGGUUCCACAGGUAACAGAAAACAAUCUGGUGUGCCAGACCGUGUUCUGGAAUCUGCUAAUCAGAAAGGGCGUGGGUUGACAGAUAAGGACUCCAGAGAUUCCAGGGUGAAGGGCACCAAGACGGGCUUAGACAGACACUAUGAACAUGGUGAAUUGAGUCCCAGAGAUAGGGGACACAGGGACUAUGAGAAGAAAUUGGACAGAAAGGAGACAGAUGCGAGGCAUAGGGAUGACAGGAAUGAUUUGCGUGAUAGAGAGUCAAGGAGGCGUGAUGCCAAAUCAAACUCGGGAGAAGAUCAUAAUGGUAGAGAUGAGAAAAGAUCAAGAAAGUAUGAAGAUGGAUCCUACACAAAUGAGGAUAGAGAUAGUAGGGGUUUGGACAGAAGGUCGACUCGUGAUAAGGUAGCCUCCCCAAGCCGUCCUAGAAACUCUGAUGAUGAUUAUCGGCAUAGGUCUCACAGGUAGCAGGAAUCCUCUAGUUUUGGGGACAGAUGCUGGGCGUUUCUAAUGACUACAGGCUCUUGUUUUUUGGCUCCACUGUACCCUUCUUCAGGUUGCCUAGUUUUAUCAUGUGAGGAAAAUUGCAGCAAGGCAAAGAAUGACUUACUGCAUAAUGUUGCAUUUGCUACACGAUGGCACUAUUUGAUACUUUAAUGCUGAGGAAGGCAUUUAAUUAAGUAGGUGCCUCUCCCAAAUGUUGCAUUAUCAAAGUUGUAAUGGCUGUGCGGGACUAGGGAUAAAUCCAUUAGAACCCCUUGUUUGCAUCAAGGAGAUCCUGCUGAAAGGUUUUCUGUAACUGGAGGUGGACUCGAAUAGUGGCGAAAAUCUGAAGAUCUUAAAUUGGAGCUGUAAUUAGUAGACAUAGGAGAUGAACUUUUUCCGAAACCAUUUACACCAUUGGUCUGACUUUUCAUAUCUUCAGAGACAGUUUCCUAGAGUAUGCUUUCUACGAACUUCUUAUCUGCAUGUAAGAUAUCUCCUGUUUUCUUUAAAUACCAGAAGGCCAAAGGAUUGCAUAUGAUUUAUAAAGAUGAAAUUUAGCUGUCAAUAAA
RNA transcript from Coffea arabica (coffee), 1729 nucleotides. It is a transcript of the gene named zinc finger CCCH domain-containing protein 25, with no coding region annotated. The record is from RefSeq and is a predicted model, not a curated record. Lineage: Eukaryota; Viridiplantae; Streptophyta; Magnoliopsida; Gentianales; Rubiaceae.